This 494-nucleotide ribosomal RNA is filed under the name uncultured bacterium. Its description in RNAcentral is "partial 16S ribosomal RNA". It matches the Rfam family "Bacterial small subunit ribosomal RNA", at positions 28 to 507 of the family's 1533-position model. The record is from RNAcentral.
GACGAACGCUGGCGGCGUGCUUAACACAUGCAAGUCGAACGGAAAGGCCUGCUUUUCCUUGUGGUUUGCGGGUACUCGGGUGGCGAACGGGUGAGUAACACGUGAGUGAUCUGCACCCAACUUGGGUAUAAGCAUGGGAAACUGGGUCUAAUUCCCGAUAGGACUGCAGGGUGGUGUCUGUGGUGGCAGACGUUUUUCUAGUGGUUGGGGAUGAGCUGGCGGCCUAUCUGCUUGUUGGUGGGGUAAUGGACGACCAAGGCGGGGAGGGGAAGCCGGCCUGGGAGGGUGGACGGUGAAAUUGGGACUGGGAUACGGCCCAGACGCGUACGAGAAGUAGGAGUUGGGAAGAAUGGAGCAUGGGCGGGAGGCUGCUGCAGCGACGGCGUGUGGGAGAUGACGGGCUUCGGGUUGUAUACUCCUAUCGACCGCGAGGAGGGCACCUGGUUGGAAGGGUGGUGACGGUAGUGGUAGAAGAAGCACCGGCUAACUACGUG